AUUGAACGCUGGCGGCAGGCCUAACACAUGCAAAUCGAGCGGUAGCACAGAGAGCUUGCUCUCGGGUGACGAGCGGCGGACGGGUGAGUAAUGUCUGGGAAACUGCCUGAUGGAGGGGGAUAACUACUGGAAACGGUAGCUAAUACCGCAUAACGUCGCAAGGCCAAAGAGGGGGACCUUCGGGCCUCUUGCCAUCAGAUGUGCCCAGAUGGGAUUAGCUAGUAGGUGGGGUAACGGCUCACCUAGGCGACGAUCCCUAGCUGGUCUGAGAGGAUGACCAGCCACACUGGAACUGAGACACGGGCCAGACUCCUACGGGAGGAAGCAGGGGGGAAUAUUGCACAAUGGGCGCAAGCCUGAUGCAGCCAUGCCGCGUGUAUGAAGAAGGCCUUCGGGUUGUAAAGUACUUUCAGCGGGGAGGAAGGCGAUAAGGUUAAUAACCGCGUCGAUUGACGUUACCCGCAGAAGAAGCACCGGCUAACUCCGUGCCAGCAGCCGCCGUAA
Molecule: ribosomal RNA, 504 nt
Filed under: uncultured bacterium
Lineage: Bacteria
Description: partial 16S ribosomal RNA
Rfam family: Bacterial small subunit ribosomal RNA
Source: RNAcentral